AAGUGGAGUUAGCUUUUUCUUGAUUUCUUUGUGGCAUUUUAUCAAACACAUAGUGGAUGGUAAUAAAGCCCACUCUUUCAAGCUAAACACACCUACAAAAUACUUAUAAUUGUCAACAAUAUUACUAAUUCUUGCACAGAGAAUUAAUGUGGAGUUGUCAUCACCAUCUACUUUGCGUUUGUGGUUAUGUCUUUGAUUAGAAAAUGCAUAAGAACUGAACCAUCAUCCUUUACGGUUCUAAAUCUGUUGAGAGAGAGCAGAUGCAUAAAACACCUUGAACAAGUUCAUACCCACAUAAUACAAAAGGGUUAUGAGCAAGACCAUUUUAUCAUUAACCAGUUUAUAUCCCUCUGUAAUGUGUUUUCGUAUGAUAUAUCUUAUGCUACAAGUGUGUUUGAGCAUGUUAUUCAGCCUAAUGUUUAUGUAUGGAAUACAUUGAUUAAAGGGUAUAGCAAAAAAUCAUCUCUUGUUGAUUGUUUCGUAGUCUUGAGACAAAUGAGAAGAACUGUGAAUGUGAAACCUGAUGAAUUUACUUUUCCGUCGUUGGUCAAAUCUUGUUCUAAUGUGUUUGCUUUGAGGGAAGGUAAGAUUAUUCAUGGGUUGUUAGUGAGAUAUGGGAUUGAUAGUGAUGUGUUUGUAGGAUCUAGUUUGAUUGAUCUUUAUGGGAAGUGCAAAGAGAUUGAGUAUGCACGAAGAAUCUUUGAUGAAAUUCCUCUGAAGAAUGAGGUUAUAUGGACUGCGAUGAUCGUUGGAUAUGUAUAUGUUGGUGAUAUAUCAGAAGCAAGGAAGUUAUUCGAUGAAAUGCCACAGAGAAAUGUAGCUUCGGGGAAUGCAAUGAUUAGGGCAUUCAUGAAGUUUGGUGAUUUGUCUGGUGCGAAGAAAUUGUUUGAUAGUAUGCCUUAUAAGGAUGUGGUAUCUUUUACUACUAUGAUUGAUGGUUAUGCUAAGGCUGGUGACAUGGCAUCAGCGAGGUUUCUGUUUGAUAGGUCUUCUGAUAGAGACAUAAUUUUGUGGUCUGCUUUGAUGUCUGGGUAUGCUCAGAACGGGCAACCCAAUGAAGCUGUCAAAAUAUUUCACGAGAUGUUGUCAAUGAAUGUUAGGCCAGAUGAGUUUAUAAUGGUAAGUUUGAUGUGUGCCUGUUCCCAGUUAGGUCGUCUGGACCUAGCAAAUUGGGUAGAACAUUAUAUGAGCCAAAAUUCUUUUGAUCUUAAUCAAGUACAUAUAGCUUCGGCCCUCGUGGAUAUGAAUGCUAAGUGUGGGAAUAUGGAAAGGGCAAAAAUGUUGUUUGAGGGGAUGCCUAAGCGUGAUCUAGUAUCAUAUUGUUCGAUGAUACAAGGGCUGUCUAUUCAUGGUUGCGGUUCUCAGGCUAUAGAUUUCUUUGAUAGGAUGCUGAACGAGGGUCUUGUGCCUGAUGAUGUUUCCCUAAAGAUAAUUCUGACAGCUUGUAGUCGUGCAGAACUUGUUAAGGAGGGUUUCCGGAUCUUCAGUCUAAUGACAACCAAAUACUCUGUCAAGCUAUCUCCAGAUCAUUAUGCAUGCGUAGUAGACCUUCUUGGAAGAUCAGGAAAGCUUCAAGACGCAUAUGAACUUAUAAAGUCGAUGCCUGUUGAACCUCAUGCCGGUGCCUGGGGUGCACUUCUUGGGGCUUGUAAGCUACACUGUGACAUUGAGGUUGGGGAGGAGAUAUCGAAUAGACUUUUUGAACUAGAGCCUCAAAAUACGGGUAAUUAUGUGAUUUUGUCAGACAUCUAUGCUGCAGCAAAUAGGUGGUUAGAUGUUGCACUGUUGCGUCAAAAGAUGAGUGAGAAGGGUCUUAGGAAGAUACCUGGUUGCAGCAGUUGGGAGACAAAUGAUGGAAUAUUUUCCUUAAUUAGGUGAAAAAUGACAAGGUUUGAGUGACAUUCUUUAUUAGUAAAUGCAUUUUGAAAAGUUGGGAAUCAACUGAUUACUCUGCAGAAGGAAAGGAUAGUUGACAUUUCUGAAUGGAACCCAUCUCCCAAUUACUUCUCUUUUGCUAUGUCCUUUCGUCCCCAACAUGAACACUCCUCCAUUACCAGGUUCUUUAAAAUGGAAGAUCGAAAACGGGCUCUUGUGAGCAGAUUGUUGCAGUAUGCACUGAUACAUCAAGUCUUGGGGAUCCCAUAUAACAAAAUUGUCAUCAGGCGCACUGCUGAGGGGAAACCAUACCUGUUAUAUUUAGAACGUAGUCAGUCGAUAUCUUCGCAUUUGCAAUAUCGUUAAUCCUAUCCUCUUCUAGGAAUAUGACAAACUGAAGUUGGAGUUGCCAAAUUUUAACUUCAAUGCAUCACAUCAUGGUGAUUUGUGGCUAUUGCUUCUGAACCAAUAUGCCUUGUGGGAUUGGAUGUUGCUUCUCAAACCAUCCCUGAGAAAGAAUCAGUGAAAGAAUCCAUUCAGAGCUUCUCAUCAUACUUCUCAACGCUGGAAUGGUUUAAUAUAAUCAAUGCUGGCUCUUCUCGUCAGAUUUUGAGUGAGUUUUAUAGGCAUCAAUAGCUAGGGGUCACCCUAUGUAUGCCACCAGCAGUUACAAGACAACGUUGAAUCGGACAAAGUUCAAUGACGAGGAAUACAAUUUAGGACUUCAUCUUCCUAAUGCAAGAUUCAUUUUCC
RNA transcript from Solanum stenotomum, 2628 nucleotides. RefSeq lists it as uncharacterized. Lineage: Eukaryota; Viridiplantae; Streptophyta; Magnoliopsida; Solanales; Solanaceae. The transcript has 5 exons. The record is from RefSeq and is a predicted model, not a curated record.